AGAGCGAACGCUGGCGGCAGGCUUAACACAUGCAAGUCGAGCGGGCACUUCGGUGUCGAGCGGCAGACGGGUGAGUAACACGUGGGAACGUACCCUUCGGUUCGGAAUAACGCUGGGAAACUAGCGCUAAUACCGGAUACGCCCUUUUUGGGGAAAGGUUUACUGCCGAAGGAUCGGCCCGCGUCUGAUUAGCUAGUUGGUGGGGUAACGGCCUACCAAGGCGACGAUCAGUAGCUGGUCUGAGAGGAUGAUCAGCCACACUGGGACUGAGACACGGCCCAGACUCCUACGGGAGGCAGCAGUGGGGAAUAUUGGACAAUGGGCGCAAGCCUGAUCCAGCCAUGCCGCGUGAGUGAUGAAGGCCUUAGGGUUGUAAAGCUCUUUUGUCCGGGACGAUAAUGACGGUACCGGAAGAAUAAGCCCCGGCUAACUUCGUGCCAGCCGCCGC
This 448-nucleotide ribosomal RNA is filed under the name uncultured bacterium. RNAcentral's name for it is "bacterial SSU rRNA". It matches the Rfam family "Bacterial small subunit ribosomal RNA", at positions 26 to 518 of the family's 1533-position model. The record is from RNAcentral.